GGACGAACGCUGGCGGCGUGCCUAAUACAUGCAAGUCGAGCGGACAGAUGGGAGCUUGCUCCCUGAUGUUAGCGGCGGACGGGUGAGUAACACGUGGGUAACCUGCCUGUAAGACUGGGAUAACUCCGGGAAACCGGGGCUAAUACCGGAUGGUUGUUUGAACCGCAUGGUUCAAACAUAAAAGGUGGCUUCGGCUACCACUUACAGAUGGACCCGCGGCGCAUUAGCUAGUUGGUGAGGUAAYGGCUCACCAAGGCAACGAUGCGUAGCCGACCUGAGAGGGUGAUCGGCCACACUGGGACUGAGACACGGCCCAGACUCCUACGGGAGGCAGCAGUAGGGAAUCUUCCGCAAUGGACGAAAGUCUGACGGAGCAACGCCGCGUGAGUGAUGAAGGUUUUCGGAUCGUAAAGCUCUGUUGUUAGGGAAGAACAAGUACCGUUCGAAUAGGGCGGUACCUUGACGGUACCUAACCAGAAAGCCACGGCUAACUAC
This 495-nucleotide ribosomal RNA is filed under the name Bacillus subtilis. Its description in RNAcentral is "bacterial SSU rRNA". It matches the Rfam family "Bacterial small subunit ribosomal RNA", at positions 27 to 504 of the family's 1533-position model. The record is from RNAcentral. Lineage: Bacteria; Bacillati; Bacillota; Bacilli; Caryophanales; Bacillaceae.